RNAcentral lists this ribosomal RNA (503 nucleotides) under uncultured bacterium. Its description in RNAcentral is "bacterial SSU rRNA". It matches the Rfam family "Bacterial small subunit ribosomal RNA", at positions 28 to 533 of the family's 1533-position model. The record is from RNAcentral.
GACGAACGCUGGCGGCGUGCCUAACACAUGCAAGUCGAGCGGGGUUGAAGCGAGAGGUAACUCGAACUUCUACCUAGCGGCGGACGGGUGAGUAACGCGUGGGCAACCUGCCUCAAGGUCUGGGAUAACAGCCCGAAAGGGCUGCUAAUACUGGGUAUGCUUGUGGCCUCGCAUGGGGCUAUGAGCAAAGGGGAAACCCGCCUUGAGAUGGGCCCGCGUCCCAUCAGCUAGUUGGUGAGGUAACAGCUCACCAAGGCGACGACGGGUAGCCGGCCUGAGAGGGUGACCGGCCACACUGGGACUGAGACACGGCCCAGACUCCUACGGGGGGCAGCAGUGGGGGAUCUUGCACAAUGGGCGAAAACCUGAUGCAGCGACGCCGCGUGAGCGAAGAAGGCCUUCGGGUUGUAAAGCUCUGUCUGGAGGGACGAAGGAAGUGACGGUACCUCCGGAGGAAGCCACGGCUAACUACGUGCCAGCAGCCGCGGUAACUCGACUACUAU